GAUCGCGUGGCCUAGUGGUUAGGGCACUCGCCUUACAGCUAUUACCUGUGAGGUGCGCGAGGGAUCGCCGGUUCGACCCCGGCCGUGAUCA
Non-coding RNA from Thozetella sp. PMI_491, 91 nucleotides. Lineage: Eukaryota; Fungi; Ascomycota; Sordariomycetes; Chaetosphaeriales; Chaetosphaeriaceae. The record is from the annotation of a GenBank genome assembly.